This 253-nucleotide ribosomal RNA is filed under the name uncultured bacterium. RNAcentral describes it as "partial 16S ribosomal RNA". It matches the Rfam family "Bacterial small subunit ribosomal RNA", at positions 524 to 776 of the family's 1533-position model. The record is from RNAcentral.
UACAGAGGGGGCAAGCGUUGUUCGGAAUUACUGGGCGUAAAGGGUGCGUAGGCGGCCUGUUAAGUCGAACGUGAAAUCCCCAGGCUCAACCCGGGAACUGCGUCCGAUACUGGCAGGCUUGAAUUCGGGAGAGGGAUGCGGAAUUCCAGGUGUAGCGGUGAAAUGCGUAGAUAUCUGGAGGAACACCGGUGGCGAAGGCGGCAUCCUGGACCGAGAUUGACGCUGAGGCGCGAAAGCCAGGGGAGCAAACGGG